AUGUGGUGAAGACCAGAAAGGAGAUACUUCAUACAUUAUGAUGAGCCUGAUUUCCCAGAGGACCUUGAGAAUCUUAUUACAUUGGAUGAGCUGGAGGAGGAUUCCUCAGGUGAUAACCAAGAUAACCAGUCAACAGAUGAGAUCAAGAGCAGAUCCAAGAGCAAGCCUCAGGACGUGAUCAGACACCUGGUAGAGUGAUCUACGUCAAAAACCUUCCCAGAAGCUUCUAUACGGAUAGUGACUUCCUGAAGAUUGUUAAAGGCUUUGGGAGAGUGCACCGCUAUUUGAUCCUUCGCAACGGUGAAGAGGGCUUCAUUGAGAUGGAGAGGUCUUCUGAUGCGACAAAGGCUUUAAGAGAGCUGCGUUAUAAUGGCUGUAAAUUAUACGGCCAGAAGUUGAUCAUCCUGCGGUCUCAGAAAUACAAAAGACUAACAACAGGGUGGAAACCUGAACUGAUUCUAAAAGUGAUCGGAAGAAAGAUCACUUGAGUACUAGAAGCAGUAGCAGGAUAAGGAGUGGACGGACCAGCAGUCACUCAAAGUCAGUGGCUAAGGACGACAAGACAAAAGAGAAGGACGACAAGACAAAAGAGAAGGACGACAAGACAAAGAAGAAGGACG
Salvelinus sp. IW2-2015 is the source of this 620-nucleotide non-coding RNA. The record is from RefSeq and is a predicted model, not a curated record. Lineage: Eukaryota; Metazoa; Chordata; Actinopteri; Salmoniformes; Salmonidae.